Long non-coding RNA from Strongylocentrotus purpuratus (purple sea urchin), 315 nucleotides. RefSeq lists it as uncharacterized. Lineage: Eukaryota; Metazoa; Echinodermata; Echinoidea; Camarodonta; Strongylocentrotidae. The record is from RefSeq and is a predicted model, not a curated record. The transcript has 3 exons.
UCUAAAACUUGAUUUCUAAGCUGAGCUGAAGAAAAAGAGAAAAACCGAAAUGCCAUUACUUUUGCUAUUAGACAUGUUAGAAGGCUAUUUGGCAGAUUGCUGUCAUAUCCAGUCUAAAAUCAAGUUAGAAAAGCUAGGCAUCGGCUAACUGAGAAAGAAGACAACCAUGGAUUGGGAAGGAAUGAAUGGUAUAGUCCAACAGUGGAGACAUCAGCAUUCUCCUUUUUUCAAGGCAAGAAAUACAAGAUAAAUGAUAGAGGGAUGAAGGAAGAGAAGAAAAGAAGAGAGGAGAGUGAGAGAAAGAGGGAGAGAGAG